Molecule: long non-coding RNA, 795 nt
Organism: Gossypium raimondii (Peruvian cotton)
Lineage: Eukaryota; Viridiplantae; Streptophyta; Magnoliopsida; Malvales; Malvaceae
Exons: 2
Source: RefSeq, a predicted model, not a curated record
AAAAUGGUAGAUAUCAUAUUUCUUGGCUAAGCUCUGGCUUUAAAGUGAUUUCUAGCUCAUUUUGAUCUAAUUAAAAGGUAUUUUAUCUUAAUUUAAGAAAUCCUUAAUGAAUUUAAGCAAAUUGAAUGUAAGCUUGAUUUUUCCGGAAAAAUUAGAUCAGUAAAAUUGGAUGUAAUUGAUGGAUUGGAUAUGUAAUUAGAUGAUAUUUAGGUAUAUUAGAAUCAAAAUUAAGGCUUAGAGAUCAAGUUUGAGUGGUAAAACACCUAUUUCGGCAAAACUAGUUAAACUUUCGGUAUGAGAAAAGUGAGCUUCGAGUGGUGAUUUUGCUACUAUUUUUUUAGUUUAAGGCUGAUAAUAAUGAUUUUUAUAUUGUAUUUAAUGUGUAUGCAAUGUUUCGGAUUCAUUGGGAGAUUUCACGAGCAAUUUGAAAGGGUAAUAAAAGCUUGUUUGACAUUGUUGUGCAAGAUGUAUUGACUAAGUGACUUAUCUUGUGAAGAGGUGUGGGAGUGAGUCAUCCAAGUGAUCCAAAUCGAGGCUAUAUCUGGGUACAUCAUUAUGUUCCCUAACCUAAUGAGGAAGGCAAUGUGAGACCAAGUUAUGGGAUUUAGUAUUAAACUUAUAAUUUUCAAGUUGUAAUGGGACACUGUGGACUAUUUAAUUGUUUGGUUUAAAACUUUUAUCAUUGCGUUAGAUAGAUGAUUGAAUGAUGGAUUAUGAUUGUUUGAUAAUUGGUUUGAAUAAUUGUUCGACUAACUUGUAAGUGCGGAUUGAAGAGUCGUUGGUCAUCGAGGUAAA